CGGAAGGACCGCUUAUCAUCACAUACAAGGAAGCACAAAUGGAAGAAGAUAAAAACCUCCGAAGUCAGGAACUGACGCCGACUUCCUUAUCACCUAUAGCCGAGUCAGGUUCAAAACAUUCAGAGAUAGGAGAAAGCAGCUCAGACGGACCAAAGAGGUUCAGAACUCUUCGAGAAAUUUAUGACAACACAGUGGAGAUCGAUCAAGACUACGGUCUUUACCUGAUGUCAAUUAAAGAACCAGCAUCUUACCAUGAAGCUGCCUGCAGUGAACAUUGACGACAAGCAAUGAUAGAAGAAAUGGAGGCUAUAAGGAGAAAUGGAACAUGGGAACUAGCAGAACUCCCAAAGGACCAGAGAGCUAUUGAUCUAAAAUGGAUCUUCAAAGUAAAGAAGAAUCCGGAAGGGGAGAUCAUUAAAUAUAAAGCGAGACUUGUUGCGAAUGGGUAUGUGCAGAAACAAGGCAUAUACUUUGAAGAAGUCUUUGCUCUUGUAGCCAGACUAAAGACAGUGAGAGUGUUACUUGUUGUAGCCGCACAAGAAGGAUGGAUAGUACAUCAUAUGGAUGUCAAAUCUGCAUUCUUGAAUGGUGAGAUAGAAGAAGAAGUUUACGUGUCACAACCAGACGAAUUCAUUGAACAAUGAGAGGAAGGAAAGGUUCUGAAGCUACGAAAGGCCCUGUAUGGUCUUAAGCAGGCGCCUCGGGCAUGGAAUAUAAAGCUAGACAAAUGUUUCUGAGAGCUGGGGUUUCAAAGAUGUAUGAUCGAACAUGCAGUCUACAAAAAACACAAUGGAGAUGAAGUGCAGAUUAUGGGAGUGUACGUAGAUGAUCUGAUAAUCAUAGGCUCAAAUCCGAGAGGUGUGGAGAAUUUCAAAGCCAAGAUGAGAAAGAUCUUCGAGAUGAGUGAUCUUGGGAUGCUAAGCUACUGCCUGGGUAUAGAAGUCAAGCAAAGGCCGUAUAGCAUCACCCUUAACCAGUCAGGGUAUGCUGAGAAGAUGCUCGAGAAGCUCGGCCUGGCAGAGUGCAAGCCAUGUCGGGUUCCAAUGGAUACACGGGUGAAGCUGAGCAAGUCAGAUGGAAGUCCUCCGGUAGAUGCAACACUAUACAGGAGUGCAAUCAGAAGUCUGAGGUAUUUGGUGAACACUUGACCCGAUCUUGCAUAUUCAGUUAGAAUUGUUAGUCGUUUCAUGGAAGCCCCAACAACGAAACAUCUAGCAGCCGUGAAACAGAUAUUGCGUUAUGUGAAAGGCACCUUACAUCAUGGGUGCAUAUACAACAAGGUGGAAGAGGAGGAGUUCAAGCUAGUAGGUUAUAGCGACAGUGACUUAGCUGGAGACGUGGAUGAUCGAAAAAGCACGACAGGGGUAAUCUAAUUCCUCGGCCAAAGCCCUGUCACCUGGAUUUCUCAAAAGCAGAAAUUCGUAGCCUUAUCCUCAUGUGAAGCCGAGUAUAUUGCUGCAACAGCAGGAGCUUGUCAAGGCAUAUGGAUUAGUAGGUUGUUACAUGAGUUGAUAAGUUGGAAGACAAACAAGUUUGUAUUAAGAGUUGACAACAAAUCUGCAAUCGCUCUCACAAAGAAUCCCGUCCAUCAUAACAGAAGUAAGCACAUAGAUAUUAAGUUUCAUUUCAUUCAGAAGUGUGUCCAAAGAGGAGAAGUCGAAAUCGAGUAUGUAAAAACUGAAUCACAACUCGCUGAUAUUUUGACAAAGCCACUGUUCCAAGACAAAAUCGAUGACUUGAGCAUGAGGAUUGGGAUCAAAGAUGUGAAGAACAAGCUUACGGGGGAGAAAUGAAGAAAUUAAGCUUGCUAUGCCAGUUGUUAAGCGAGCUGUUACACGUAUCCACUUUGCAUAACAUCAUCCAAGUGCCCAUGGUUGAAGACCAGACAUAAAAUUGAAUAGUUUGUCCUCCUCGGACAUAUUUUGGAUAUCCAGCAUCAAAGAACUAAAUUCCUUGACAUAAUCCCUUACCGUACCCGAUUGUUUCAGCCGUUUUAAAGAAUCCCUUGCAACCCAAGAGGCAUUGCAAGGUAGGAACUGGUCCUUCAUUUCCUUCUUUAAUCUCUCCCACGAGUCAAUCCUCGGCCUGCCAGCACUGGCAUCAUCAGACAUACGGGUUCGCCACCACAACUUGGCAUCCCCUGACAAGUACAUGCUAGUGAUUGUAACUUGCUCCACAUCCUUUCCUCUGUUUUUCAAAAUUAUGCAGAAAAAUUACAGAAACUGCAGAGGCUUCAAAAGUUGCAGAACCUUCAAAGCCUUAGAUCCGCAAUAUCGCUUACAUCUUUAGGGUGAUCAUAUUCACAGUUUACACUUGGUAUUAGAGCCCGGAACCUAGUUUAUGCCCAAAUACAUGCCACGACACGAAUCUUCAUCGUCCAGUGCUGUCCGUAGUGGUAAUGGUGGCAAUAGUGGCCAGACGACAGAAACUGGACAGACGGCAAAAACGGUAGUGAGAGCGCCCAUAAGAGAAGGGGGUGUCUCUCUGCAGUAUCCGCUUCUAACAAAGACAAAUUAUGCGGCUUGGGCAAUCAAGAUGCAAGCAUAUAUGCAACUCAAGGUGUUUGGGAUGUUGUUGAAUUAGAAGAUCCAGUUGAUCCUCGUUCAGACCGGAUUGCAUUGGCGGCAAUCUUUCAAGGAAUCACCGAAGAUACCCUGUUACAGUUGGGGGUAAAGAAAUCAGCUAAAGAGGCAUGGGACGCUCUCAAGGUUAUGAACCUCGAUGCAGAGAGGGUCAAAGAAGUACGGGAACAAGCUCUCAGAUGGGAGCUCGAAAGCAUGAAGAUGGAGGAUGGUGAAUCCGUCGAUGAGUUCACUGGAAAGAUUUCGACAGUUGUCAACAAGCUCCAAGCUCUUGGUGAAAGGGUUGAUGAAACGUAUGUAGUGAAGAAAAUGCUACGUUCAAUGUCCCCUAAAUACCUUCAGAUUGCCUCAACCAUAAAAGAAUUCGGGAACUUGUCUGUUAAGACAAUUGAAGAUGUAACUGGUUCUCUCAAAGCUCACGAGGAGAGGUUGCGGAGCUACGAUUCCAGAAGAGACGAAUAUGUGCUACUCACUAAAGGAGAGUGGAAAGCACGAGCUGAGUCCUUAAGAUCCAACUAGAAGUGCCCAUAUGAUGUGAGCAGAGGCCGAGGACGGGGACGUGGUAGAUGACGCAGUAGAGGUAGAGGAGGAGGUCGCAGCAGGGGUCGUGGCCCUCUUGGAACAGGCCGAGGUCAGGAUGAUGAAGGACAACAUCGUCAGAAGUUCGACAUUAAAAAGGUCAGGUGUUACAAUUGCAAUGAAUAUGGCCAUUUUCAAUCUGAUUGCAAAGCUGAAAGAAAAGAAAAAAAAUGAGGCACAUUUAGUGGAGCAAUUCGAAGAGGAGUCAACGUUGUUAAUGCUAGAAGCCAGUGAGCUAAUCCAUAUCGACGAAGAGAAGAAAGAAGAGCUGAUGCUGAAUGAAGAACAGAUGCAUGAUUUCUAUGGAGGAGAAACGACAGGAACCAUGUGGUACUAUGAUACAGGGGCAAGCAACCAUAUGAUAGGCAACAAGCUAGCCUUAACCAAUCUCGAUGAAUCAAUCAAAGGGAAUAUCAGGUUCGGUGAUGGUUCAGUCGUCAAGGUAGAAGGCUGAGGCACCUCAGUGUUUCAGUGCAAGGAUGGAGAUCAUUUUAAACUAACGAAUAUAUAUUACAUUCCUCGAUUAAGAUCCAAUAUUAUAAGUCUUGGUCAACUCAAAACCUGUGCUGAAAUUGCCUGAUUUUUUUUUUGCACCAUUUGAAGUACAUACUGACGCUUCUGAUAAGGCUAUUGGAGGGGUGCUGGUCCAGGAAGGACAUCUCGUUGCCUUUGAGAGCAGGAAGCUAAAUAAAGCUGAGCAGAAAUAUUCUGCCCAUGAAAAGGAGAUGGUUGUUGUUGUCCAUUGUCUCCAUGUGUGGAGAGUGUACUUGCUGGGUAUGAAGUUUGUUGUUAAAACUGACAACGUUGCUAACACCUUCUUUAAGACUCAGAAGAAGUUAUCUCCCAAGCAGGCUCGUUGCCAGGAAUUUCUGGCUGAAUACGAUUUUGUGUGGGAGCACAAGCUAGGCAGGCAUAAUCAGGUUGCUGAUGCCUUAAGCAGAAAAGAGGUAGUGGUUGCAUUGUAUAACACUACUCGUGUCCAGUCUGAUAUGAUGGACAAGAUUCGUAGCCAUGGCAUGGAGGAUGCUAGUUACAAAAAGCUGGUUCAGCAGAUUAAGGAUGGAGUUGUGAGAAGAUAUUAUCUGGAAGAUGAUUUCUUGAUGGCUUCAGGUGGCAGAUUGUUUGUUCCUAGUGUUGGUGGCCUAAGAAGGGAGAUUCUUAGGGAGACACAUGACCCUCAGUGGGCUGGGCAUCCAGGAGUGAGGAGAAUGAUGGCUCUUCUUGGUAGGAACUAUUUCUGGCUGAAGAUGGAGGAGGAUGUUGUGGCUUAUAUUCGCACUUAUGUAGUGUGUCAAUAAGACAAGAGUGAGCACCAGAAGCAAGCUGGUUUGCUUCAACCAUUGGCCAUUGCGGAGAAACCUUGGGAGUCCGUGUCUAUGGAUUUCAUUGGGGGAUUUCCUAAGGUAAGUGAUAUGUCUUCUGUUAUGGUUGUGGUGGAUCGAUUCUCCAAGUACGCGGUGUUUAUUCCUGCCCCUUCUGUCUGUCCAUCCGAUGUUGCUACUGACUUGUUUUACAAAAAUGUUGUGAAGUACUUUGGCUUACCAAGAGACGUUGUGAGUGACCGGGAUGCACGGUUCACUGGUCAAUUCUGGACUGCUUUAUUCAACAUGAUGGGGACGGAGUUGAAAUUCUCCACUGCCAAUCAUCCCCAAAUCGAUGGGCAAACCGAGAGAAUCAAUGGGUUGCUUGAGGAGUACCUUAGGCAUUAUGUGAGUGCAAGUCAAAGAAACUGGUUGGAACUGUUGGGUAGUGCACAAUUCUGUUAUAAUUUGCAUAAAUCUUCUUUUACAGAAGCGAGUCCAUUUGAACUUGUUCUGGGGCAUCAACUCAACACUCCUGUGGAGAUGGCCAAACAGGGGGCUGGUGGCAAGUGUCCUGCUGCAUAUAAGUUCGCCAAGGGUAGAUAGGAGUUACUAGAAGAAGCUGGUGACAGCCUGAGAAAAGCCUCAAGGAGAAUGAAGAAAUAUGCAGACAGGGGGAGAAGGGACGUGGAGUUCGACAUUGGCGAGAAGGUGCUGGUGAAGUUGACUCCACAGAUUUGGAAGAAGAUAAGCAGUAAAACCGUGCAUAGGGGAUUGAUCCCUAAGUAUGAUGGGCCCUUUGAAGUUGUGGCCAAGGUGGGCAAUGUUGCCUACAAGCUGAAAUUGCCCUAAAGAUUGAAAGUUCAUCCAACUUUCCAUGUGAGUUUCCUUAAGAAGUUUCACGAAGAUGUCGCUGAGUCAUCAAGGAGCCAAGCGAAGAUGUAACGACCCCAAAAUGGACUGUCACCGGCGCUAGGAUUCGGGUCGGUUUAAGGCCGCCAGAACCCGUAGCAAGCCUGCUAUACUCUCUGUAUACCUGUAAAACUCAUACAUGAUCAUGUAAAAAUAAAAACUCUUUUCUCUGUACCAAGGCUUAACCUGUGCAUGCACUAUCUCUGUACUCUGUACUCUGUACUCUGUACUCUGUACUCUGUACUCUGUACGCUGUACCCCUGACUAGAGCUUGCUCUAGAUGGGUUCAUAUCUGUUAAGCCUGGUAAUAAAACAUAUAUACAUAUACAGAUCAUGUACAUAACAAGAGCUUUACAACACAAUACAAUUAAGUCAAGCACAACUCUAACUGUAUACACAACUAUUACAUCUCUUUACACUUUACAUGUCCACUCUAUACUAUUACAAGUUCCUGUACUCUUUCUGUACUCUGCUGGACUGUCGCUGUACACUGUACACUGAACCUGCAAAACUGGGGUUAAGGGAGUGGGAUGAGCUCUAUAACCCAGUGAGUAGAACAGUAAAACAUCUCAGUAAAACAUGAUCUCAUGGAAUGCACCAUAUCACAAAUAAUCCACAUCAAGAGUAAACCUGUCACCACAUAGUCCCAGUAACUCUGUGCCAGGGCGUAGAAUCGAGCACCUGGUCUUCCUGUCAUAUAUGUAUAUGUGUAUAUAACACCUCUGUACUUACCAUUGCCAGGGCGUAGUCAAAGGCUCCUGGACUUUACUAUAUACCUGCCAGGGCGUAGUCAAAGGCUCCUGGUCUUUACUCUACCUGCCAGGGCGUAGUCAAAGGCUCCUGGUCUUCCUGUCUGAGACUAUUGGAUCAUUCAGCAUUUACCCACAUCAACAAAUAAUUAUGCAAUGCAACAUAUUCGUGGACACUAAUGCAAUCAACCUAAGGGAUAAUCAUGAUGCAUGAGAUAUGCUAAAACAUUCCAGUGUUCAGUUCAAGUAAAAGCAUUAAGUUUAGUUCCACUCACCUCUGGCUAUCUGGACUGACUGACUCUGCAGGCUCUGUAACCCUCUGGAGCAGAACUCACUGCUGCUCUCUCUGGUUCCUCUGGUCUGUAUAGGUACAGAUAAACUCAAAUGAGGGACCAAACUAGCUUAUGACUAACUCUAUUAACCUCCCCAAGAAUCCCCUUAAACGCACUCAACUAUCCAUGCAAAGCAUGCAAAAGAAGGCUGGACAGAACACUUUCGGCGGCAGGUUCGGCGGCCAAAAGUCCUCUCCAGAGACGAAACUCAAGCACCUUCGGCGGCCGAACUUUCACUUUCGGCUGCCGAACCCUUUUGGGGGCAAGGUUCGGAGGCCACAAGGCACUCCAGAGACGAAAGUCUCUAACCUUCGGCGGCACCUUCAGCGGCCGAACUUCCCUCCAGAGCCGAAAGUCCAAAAGCUCGGGGGCAAGCUUGGGCAGCCGAAGCCACCUCCUCACACCUCUUCAGGGGUUCGGCGGCCGAAUGUACCUUCGGCGGCCGAACCUGAGUUCAUCAGCAGGGCAGAAACGUGCCCUGCCUCUUGCCAAAUGCACCACACUCAUUCAAACACAAACACCUCAAUUCCUUCACUUGCAUACACUCAUGUAUAUGCUCAAAGGGGUCCAAAACUACCUAAAAAACCCCAAACACACAACACAAACAACACAGAAACAAGCUCUAUGCACAAAAUCAUCAAAACCUCACAAAUAACCCUAUUCAUGCAACUCUCUCCAUAAACCCCAUAAAACCGUCAGAAAACAUACAAACAAGCUCAGGAUCUUCACUUACCUUGUGAAAACAAGUAGAUGAACGAUCCUAACGUGGAGUUUUGGAGCAACUUGCCUUUAAACUCGCCAAACUUCAAAACUUUGAGUGUUUAGCUUAAAACCUUCAAAUAAUCAUGAAAACUAAUCAAAUCUUUGCAUGAUUUAAUGAAAACAUGAAGAAAGACUCACCAAGGGCAGGAUCUCACCUCAGAAGACAAAAGAAACGGUGUUCUCACCGCUUCAACCGACUGAGGGCCAUUUAUAGGUGGCUGGCCAGACCACCUUCGGCGGCCACACGUGAAACCAAAAGCCAUGCAUGUUCGGCGGCCGAACCUCAACUUCGGCGGCCGAACCUGGCUUUUCUGCCUUGGUUCAUUUCACUCAAAAACUCAUUUCCUUAUACAUAAAACUUGAUGAACAUAGUAAAACAUUUAAGAAAAACAUAACGCAAACCCUUCUAGAGACUUCCGACAUCCCGGAUCCCACCAGAAAGCAGAAUUCCGAUGCCGGACUCCAGCCGGGUAUUACAGAAGAGAGCUCUGCCGGUUGUGAGGAAACAGUUCGAUGAUCAGAUUCGGGAGAUUCUGGAUCAUAGGACACUGGGGCAAAGCAAAAAGAAUAGGAGAACAGAGUUCCUUAUUCGAUGGAAAGACAAGCCAGUUUUAGAAGCUACUUGGGAAAGAGAUACAACCUUGUGGCAGUUUAAAGAGCAAAUAGAGGAUUAUUUGUGAGCCCUACCAACGAGGACGUUGGCUCCUUCUGGUGGGGUGGUUUGUUAGACCCUUGAGCCGGUUGGCUUAAGUUGGGGUGAAGUUGGGCCUUGAUUUCACCACAACUGGGAGUGUGCAGGGAUGCACUCGAUUGGCAAGGCUGUGUGCUGGGGCAGUGAUAGAGCAUAUUUUAGUCUAUUUUAUCAUUAUGUUCUUGAUGUUUAUUUACAUCUUUUCUACUUAAUUUUGUGGUUUUAAUUAUGUUUUGCAGAUAUUAGGUGUAAAGAGACAAUCUGGAGAAAAUGCUCUUAAAACUGCUAAAAAGUGCCAAAUAUGGAAAGUGCCAAAAAAGGAAAGUUUCCAAAUAAGGAAAGUUUUCAGAAAAGGAAAGUUUUCAAAUGAGGAAAGUGCAGAAGCAAAAGCAAAUAAGGAAAGCUCAGUCAGAAGAUCAUUUGAAAUUCAAAUCGCAUAUCUUUCUUUCCUUGUUCAAAGAUGUGCACACACUGCAGCAGUCAUAUCUUCCUAUUUAGGCAGCAAGAUCUCAAAGAGAUGCUAUUCCUCUUCUGCAUUCAAUAUUCAAAUUUCAAAAGAGGCUCCACCUAAAAAGGAAUGUAUGGACAAGCAUAUCUUCCCCUUUGAAGAUCAAAAUUCGUGCAUCCUUCCUAUUCAGAAACAAUCUGCGCAAUUUCCUCUUCUGAGAGCCAUCUGCGCACCACCUUCCUUUUCUGCAACAACUUGGGCAGCAAGUUGCACAUGGGCAGCACUUUGGGCAGCCUCUACACUAAUUAGGAAGAAAGAUCAGCAUCUAAACUUAUUUAGGAAGCAUAAUCUGCGCCUCCUUCCCUUUCUGAGACCAAACCGCGCGCACCAACUUCCUUCCGCAGUGCAUUUUCGCGCAGCCUUCCUUCUGAAGCCGAAAAGCGCGAUUCUUUCCUUUUCAGACACAUCUUGGGCAGAAAAUACCUCUUGGGCAGUAAGUAUGACCUAGGGCAACACUUUUCAACUAUAAAAAGCCACAUAGGAAGCCUCUACAUGGUCUUUAAGCUCCCCUUGGGAGACACCUACGAAAUUCACAUCUCUUCUUCUACCUUUUUCUUUUCUUUUAUUUUUGGUUUUAUUUCAGCCAUGAGAGGCUGAAAUAUUUUAUUCUAGUUGAGGAUUGGUUGAAACUAAGGUUGUUUAAUGGGUUGUGAGAUCUGAACAUAAAUUAUUGUCUUUGGUUUUGCUCAAUAUUUUAUGCAAUUGAUGCUUUAAUUACAUGAUUACUUUGUUGUUUUGAUCAAAUUGGCCACUUGAUUUUAAUUGCAAAGUUAAUUGAUUGUUAGUUGGGAUUAUUUUUAGUCCGUAAUUGCUGGAAAUACUCUGACCUUAGAACACUUGGGAUAAAAUCCAAGAAAAUUGCAUGAUCUAGCGUUAUCUCCAUACGUUUGGGUAGCUAGGAUUGGAUCUCUCUAUUUCUUUAUGCAAUUGACAAUUGUUUUGAUGCCUAUGGCCCAAGGACGUUUCUUGGCAAUUUGUUAAUUAGUAAUUAAUUAGAGGACGUUCCCUAAUUAAUUUAAUCAUAAGGAGAGACAUGGUUGUGAGAAGCGUCUUCCACCCCCAUACCUAAUCUAUUGAACCAAUCAAGAUAAUUUAAGUUUCAAUGAUCAACCCAAACAACCAAAGUGGAUCCAUAUCUUCAACUAGGCUUUUCUCAUAUUGAUUUACUCUUUUAUUUUAAUUAUUUGCUUUCUGUUAUUACUCUCAUUAUUAGUUACUGCAAUCAAUCUCAAACCCCCCCAUUUUACUUUUAUUGCAAUUUAUUUUUAUUCUGCUUCCAGUUUAUCUCAUUUGAUCCCACUUUCAGUCUUUUAUCUCAUCUUUAAUUUAUUAUUAUUUCAGUUUAUUUUAUUGGUCUUGUUAAGAAAAAUAAAUAGGUAAUCAAUUCUCUGUGGAUUCGAUCCUUUCACCACUAUCUGCAGUUGUAAAAUUGUUGAUAACCAGAAAGGUUAUUUUUGACCGGCUUCGACAACCGCGAGUCAGGCAGGCUGGUGAUCUGCUGGGUGCAAGGGCUGGACUUUGGGUAUCAGUUCAGUCCAUCACAUUAGGAUGCUGCUACAGUAGGGAUUGGAAGUUACUGAAUGCAAAGGAGUGGCCUACAAACGUGGGGAAGUGAUGCUAGAGUGGGGCAUGUUCUCCCAUGAUGAGUAGUGGGCAUGUUCUCCUAUGAGGGAAGUGGGUAGUUAUAACUCCCAUGAUCAUUAGUGGGCGGUUAUAUAACUUCCAUGAUGAGUAGUGGGUAGUUAUAUAACUCCUAUAAUGAGUAGUGGGCGGAAUUUUCUCCUUAGUGGUUGGGGGUGUCAACCACAACUUCUUGUAGGCUGUUGUUGUAUCCUAUAUAUACUCAUACAUAUGUAAAUAUGGGGGGUUGGCUAGGGAGAGAGCUAAAAAAAGAGCACUGCUGGAACAUUUUGGGAGAAGUUAUGUGAGAGGUGUCUCAUGUAUUGUUUCCUUUUAGUGAAUGAAAGGUUGGGAAAGUUAUUUCCUGUAAAUACUAUUGUCUUGCACUUUGUUGGUUGAGAUUUUAUGCCUUUUGAACCUCACUUUGUGAGAGAGUGUGGCUGAGCCAAGUGGGAUUUUUUGGUUGCCUAGCAGGUUUUCUAAGUGAUUGUUCCGCUGCGUGUAUUUUGACUUAGACCCCUGUGACAAUUUGGACACAGAGAUCCUAGCAGCAGCAAAAUACUGUUCCAUGUCCUAGAGGUUUGGUUGCUCUGAUACCAAGUGUAAACUGUGAAUAUGAUCACCCCAAAGAUGUAAGCGAUACUGCAGAUCUAAGGCUUUGAAGGUUCUGCAACUUUUGAAACCUUUGCAGUUUCUGUAAUUUUUCUGCAGAAUUUUGAAAAAACAGAGGAAAGGAAAUUUACUCAGAUUCCUUUAAAAUUUGACUCACCUCCUCAAUUUCAUUGAGGUAUUGCCUUAUUUAUACUUAAACUAAAAAAACUGAAAAACAAGCUUUAAUCCGAGCAUCACGCCACAUUACGUAAAUCUCAGAUUGAACGAAGAUCAAGCGCUGACCAAUUCAAAAAAAUAAACAUGCAGAAACAGAUUCGGAAACAACAUGCAAAAUGGGUGCAAAGUGGAUACGUGUAACAGCUGGCUUAACAACUGGCAUAGCAAGCUUAAUUUCUUCAUUUCUCUCCCGUAAGCUUGUUCUUCACAUCUUUGAUCCCAAUCAUCAUGCUCAAGUCAUCGAUUUUGUCUCGGGACAGUGGCUUUGUCAGAAUAUCAGCGAGUUGUGAUUCAGUUUUUACAUACUCGAUUUCGACUUCUCCUCUUUGGACACACUCCCGAAUGAAAUGAAACUUAAUAUCUAUGUGCUUACUUCUGUUAUGAUGGACGGGAUUCUUUGUGAGAGCGAUUGCAGAUUUGUUGUCAACUCUUAACACAAACUUGUUUGUCUUCCAACCGAUCAACUCAUGUAACAGCCUACUAAUCCAUAUGCCUUGACAAGCUCCUGCUGUUGCAGCAAUAUACUCGGCUUCACAUGAGGAUAAGGCUACAACUUUCUGCUUUUGAGAAAUCCAGGUGACAGGGCUUUGGCCGAGGAAGUAGAUUACCCCUGUCAUGCUUUUUCGAUCAUCCACGUCUCCGGCUAAGUCACUGUCGCUAUAACCUACUAGCUUGAACUCCUCCUCUUCCACCUUGUUGUAUAUGCACCCAUGAUGUAAGGUGCCUUUCACAUAACGCAAUAUCUGUUUCACGGCUGCUAGAUGUUUCGUUGUUGGGGCUUCCAUGAAACGACUUACAAUUCUAACUGAAUAUGCAAGAUCGGGUCGAGUGUUCACCAAAUACCUCAAACUUCCGAUUGCACUCCUGUAUAGUGUUGCAUCUACCGAAGGACUUCCAUCUGACCUGCUCAGCCUCACCCGUGUAUCCAUUGGAACCCGACAUGGCUUGCACUCAGCCAGGCCGAGCUUCUCGAGCAUCUUCUCAGCAUACCUUGACUGGUUAAGGGUGAUGCUAUACGGCCUUUGCUUGACUUCUAUACCCAAGUAGUAGCUUAGCAUCCCAAGAUCACUCAUCUCGAAGAUCUUUCUCAUCUUGGCUUUGAAAUUCUCCACACCUCUCGGUUUUGAGCCCAUGAUUAUCAGAUCAUCUACGUACACUCCCACAAUCUGCACUUCAUCUCCAUUGUGUUUUUUGUAGACUGCAUGUUCGAUCAUACAACUUUGAAACCCCAGCUCUCGGAAACAUUUGUCUAGCUUUAUAUUCCAUGCCCGAGGCACCUGCUUAAGACCAUACAGGGCCUUUCGUAGCUUCAGAACCUUUCCUUCCUCUCCUUGUUCAAUGAAUUCGUCUGGUUGUGACACAUAAACUUCUUCUUCUAUCUCACCAUUCAAGAAUGCAGAUUUGACAUCCAUAUGAUGUACUAUCCAUCCUUCUUGUGCGGCUACAGCAAGUAACACUCUCACUGUCUCUAGUCUGGCUACAGGAGCAAAGUCUUCUUCAAAGUCUAUGCCUUGUUUCUGCACAUACCCCUUCGCAACAAGACUCGCUUUAUACUUAAUGAUCUCCCCUUCUGGCUUCUUCUUUACUUUAAAGAUCCAUUUCAGACUAAUAGCUCUCUGGUCCUUUGGGAGUUCUACUAGUUCCCAUGUUCCAUUUCUCCUGAUAGCCUCCAUUUCUUCUAUCAUUACUUGUCGCCAAUGUUCACUGCAGGCAGCUUCAUGGUAAGAUGAUGGUUCUUCAAUUGACAUCAGGUAAAGACCGUAGUCUUGAUCGAUCUCCACUGUGUUGUCAUAAAUUUCUCGAAGAGUUUUGAACCUCUUUGGUCCCUCUGAGUUGCUUUCUCAUGUCUCUGAAUGUUCUGAACCUGACCCGGCUAUAGGUGAUAAGGAAGCCGGCGUCAGUUCCUGACUUCGGAGGUUUUUGUCUUCUUCCGUUUGUGCUUCCUUGUAUGUGAUGAUAAGUGGUCCUUCUGUUGUGGAGUUUGAUGUUGUCUGGUUUUGCCAUUCCCACUUCUCUUAUUCCUGAAACACAACAUCCCGACUUACCACAAUUAGAUUAGUAUUUGGGUUCAAUAACCGGUAUGCUUUGGACCCUGGUUCAUAUCCCAAUAAAACCAGCUUCAUGCUUCUAUCAUCCAAUUUUCUCAAGUAAGGAGCUGUGUUCUUGGCAUAUGCAAUGCAACCAAAAACACGCAUAUGAUGAACACUGGGAAGUCUUCCAUGCCACGCUUGAUACGGAGUCAUGCCUUGGACACUUCUUGUGGGUGAUCAGUUUAAUAUGUAUACUGCAAUACCUGCAGCUUCUGCCCAAUAUGUAGCUGGCACUCCGGAACUAUUCAAGAGACACCUUAUCAUCUCCACUACGAUUUUGUUUCUCCGCUCUACUACUCCGUUUUGCUGUGGGGAAUAAGGAGCAGUGAGCUGGCGUUUGAUGCCGUGUAACUCGCAGAACUUGCUGAACUCAUUUGAUGUAAACUCGCCUCCUCUGUCUGUUCUAAACAUUUUGAGCUUACAUUCGGACUGGACUUCGAUAUGAGCUUUUACUUUCUUGAAAACACUAACAACCUUAUCUUUUCUUUUGAGCAUCUCAAUCCACAUAUAACGACUGUAAUCAUCCACGAGCAAGAGAAAAUACCUAUUCCGCCACAUGUGGUAGGUGAUAUUGGCCCGCACAAGUCACCGUGCACGAGUUCCAGAGGUUUGGUUGCUUGAUACUCUCCUGCUUUCAGGAAACUCGUGCGAUGCUGCUUGCUGAUCACACAUUAUUCAUAGAUGUGCUUUACUAUUUCUAUUUCCGGUAAACCUUCUACCAUGCUUUCUUGUGCAAGCUUGCGUAAUGCUUGAUAGUUGAGGUGCCCGUAGUGAGCAUGCUAUAAGUAAGAUUUUUCAGACAGCCAUGUCAGGUGGCACUCUGAUUUUGCUUGUGUCAUUCUCAUCAUGUAAAGGCGAUUUUUCGCUCUCUGCACCUUGACUAUCAACCUGUCCUUUGCAUCAUAUACUCUCAGAAUCCCUGCUUUUACCACCACUUUUGCCCCUAAUUCGUCGAGUUGACCAAGACUUAUAAUAUUGAAUCUUAAUCGAGGAAUGUAAUAUACAUUCGUUAGUUUAAAAUGAUCUCCAUCCUUGCACUGAAACACUGAGGUGCCUCGGCCUUCUACCUUGAUGACUGAACCAUCACCGAACCUGACAUUCCCUUUGAUUGAUUCAUCGAGAUUGGUUAAGGCUAGCUUAUUGCCUGUCAUAUGGUUGCUUGCCCCUGUAUCAUAGUACCACAUGGUUCCUGUCGUUUCUCCUCCAUAGAAAUCAUGCAUCUGUUCUUCAUUCAGCAUCGGCUCUUCUUUCUUCUCUUCGUCGAUAUGGAUUAGCUCACUGGUUUCUAGCAUUAACAACGUUGACUCCUCUUCGAAUUGCUCCACUAAAUGUGCCUCAUUUUUUUCUUGUCUUUCAGCUUUGCAAUCAGAUUGAAAAUGGCCAUAUUCAUUGCAAUUAUAACACCUGACCUUUUUAAUGUCGAACUUCUGACGGUGUUGUCCUUCAUCAUCCUGACCUCGGCCUGUUCCAAGAGGGCCACGACCCCUGCCGCGACCUCCUCCUCUACCUCUGCCGCGUCCUCUACCACGUCCACGUCCCCGUCCCCGGCCUCUGCUCACGUCCUGUGGGCGCUUCUCGUUGGAUCUUAAGGACUCAGCUCGUGCUUUCCACUCUCCUUUAGUGAGUAGCACAUAUUCGUCUCCUCUGGAAUCGUAGCUCCGCGACCUCUCCUCGUGAGCUUUGAGAGAACCAGUUACAUCUUCAAUUGUCUUAACAGACAAGUUCCCAAAUUCUUCUAUGGUUGAGGCAAUCUGAAGGUAUUUAGGGGACACUGAACGUAGCAUUUUCUUCACUACAUACGUUUCAUCAACCCUUUCACCAAGAGCUCAGAAUCCCGUCCAUCAUAACAGAAGUAAGCACAUAGAUAUUAAGUUUCAUUUCUUUCGGGAAUGUGUCCAAAGACGAGAAGUCGAAAUCAAGUAUGUAAAAACUGAAUCACAACUCGCUGAUAUUCUGACAAAGCCACUGUUCCGAGACAAGAUCGAUGACUUGAGCAUGAUGAUUGGGAUCAAAGAUGUGAAGAAUAAGCUUACGGGGGAGAAAAGAAGAAAUUAAGCUUGCUAUGCCAGUUGUUAAGCCAGCUGUUACACGUAUCCACUUUGCACCCACUUUUGCAAAGGUGCUGAAAGCAGGGAUUCUGAGAGUAUAUGAUGUAAAGGACAGGUUGAUAGUCAAGGUACAGAGAGCGAAAAAUCGCCUUUACAUGAUGAGAAUGACACAAGCAAAAUCAGAGUGCCACCUGACAAGGCUGUUUGAAAAAUCUUACUUAUGGCAUGCUUGCUACGGGCACCUCAACUAUCAAGCAUUACGCAAGCUUGCACAAGAAAGCAUGAUAGAAGGUUUACCAUAAAUAAAAACAGUAAAGCACAUUUGUGAACAAUGUGUGAUCAGCAAGCAGCAUCGCACAAGUUUUCCGAAAGCAGGAGAGUAUCAAGCAACCAAACCUUUGGAACUCGUGCACGGUGACUUGUACAGGCCAAUAUCACCUACCACAUGUGGCGAAAAUAGGUAUUUUCUCUUGCUCGUGGAUGAUUACAAUCGUUAUAUGUGGAUUGAGAUGCUUAAAAGAAAAGAUGAGGUUGUUAGUGUUUUCAAGAAAGUAAGAGCUCAGAUCGAAGUCCAGUCCGAAUGUAAGCUCAAAAUGUUUAGAACAGACAGAGGAGGUGAGUUUACAUCAAAUGAGUUCAGCAAGUUCUGCGAGUUACACGACAUCAAACGACAGCUCACUGCUCCUUAUUCCCCACAGCAAAACGGAGUAGUAGAGCGGAGAAACCAAACCGUAGUGGAGAUGAUAAGGUGUCUCUUGAAUAGUUUCGGAGUGCCAGCUACAUAUUGGGCAGAAGCUGCACGUACUACAGUAUACAUAUUGAAUAGAUCACCCACAGGAAGUGUCCAAGGCAUGACUCUGUAUCAAGCGUGGCAUGGAAGACUUCCCAAUGUUCAUUAUAUGCGUGUUUUUGGUUGCAUUGCAUAUGCCAAGAACACAGCUCCUCACUUGAGAAAAUUGGAUGACAGAAGCAUGAAGUUGGUUUUAUUGGGAUAUGAACCAGGGUCCAAAGCAUACCGGUUAUUGAACCCAAAUACUAAUCUAAUAAUGGUAAGUCGGGAUGUUGUGUUUCAGGAAGAAGAGAAGUGGGAAUGGCAAAACCAAACAACAUCAAACUCCACAACAGAAGGACCACUUAUCAUCACAUACAAGGAAGCACAAACGGAAGAAGAAAAAAACCUCUGAAGUCAGGAACUGACGCCGGCUUCCUUAUCACCUAUAGCCGGAUUAGGUUCAGAACAUUCAAAGACAGGAGAAAGCAGCUCAGAUGGACCAAAGAGGUUCAGAACUCUUCAAGAAAUUUAUGAAAACACAGUAGAGAUCAAUCAAGACUACGGUCUUUACCUGAUGUCAAUUGAAGAACCAGCAUCUUACCAUGAAGCUGCCUGCAGUGAACAUUGGCGACAAGCAAUGAUAGAAGAAAUGGAGGCUAUCAGGAGAAAUGGAACAUGGGAACUAGCAGAACUCCCAAAGGACCAGAGAGCUAUUGGUCUGAAAUGGAU
This 16503-nucleotide long non-coding RNA is filed under the name Manihot esculenta (cassava). RNAcentral's name for it is "long non-coding RNA (MESC_LNC004472)". The record is from RNAcentral. Lineage: Eukaryota; Viridiplantae; Streptophyta; Magnoliopsida; Malpighiales; Euphorbiaceae.